RNAcentral lists this ribosomal RNA (1372 nucleotides) under uncultured bacterium. RNAcentral describes it as "bacterial SSU rRNA". It matches the Rfam family "Bacterial small subunit ribosomal RNA", at positions 28 to 1381 of the family's 1533-position model. The record is from RNAcentral.
GAUGAACGCUGGCGGCGUGCCUAAUACAUGCAAGUCGAGCGAACGGACGAGAAGCUUGCUUCUCUGAUGUUAGCGGCGGACGGGUGAGUAACACGUGGAUAACCUACCUAUAAGACUGGGAUAACUUCGGGAAACCGGAGCUAAUACCGGAUAAUAUUUUGAACCGCAUGGUUCAAAAGUGAAAGACGGUCUUGCUGUCACUUAUAGAUGGAUCCGCGCUGCAUUAGCUAGUUGGUAAGGUAACGGCUUACCAAGGCAACGAUGCAUAGCCGACCUGAGAGGGUGAUCGGCCACACUGGAACUGAGACACGGUCCAGACUCCUACGGGAGGCAGCAGUAGGGAAUCUUCCGCAAUGGGCGAAAGCCUGACGGAGCAACGCCGCGUGAGUGAUGAAGGUCUUCGGAUCGUAAAACUCUGUUAUUAGGGAAGAACAUAUGUGUAAGUAACUGUGCACAUCUUGACGGUACCUAAUCAGAAAGCCACGGCUAACUACGUGCCAGCAGCCGCGGUAAUACGUAGGUGGCAAGCGUUAUCCGGAAUUAUUGGGCGUAAAGCGCGCGUAGGCGGUUUUUUAAGUCUGAUGUGAAAGCCCACGGCUCAACCGUGGAGGGUCAUUGGAAACUGGAAAACUUGAGUGCAGAAGAGGAAAGUGGAAUUCCAUGUGUAGCGGUGAAAUGCGCAGAGAUAUGGAGGAACACCAGUGGCGAAGGCGACUUUCUGGUCUGUAACUGACGCUGAUGUGCGAAAGCGUGGGGAUCAAACAGGAUUAGAUACCCUGGUAGUCCACGCCGUAAACGAUGAGUGCUAAGUGUUAGGGGGUUUCCGCCCCUUAGUGCUGCAGCUAACGCAUUAAGCACUCCGCCUGGGGAGUACGACCGCAAGGUUGAAACUCAAAGGAAUUGACGGGGACCCGCACAAGCGGUGGAGCAUGUGGUUUAAUUCGAAGCAACGCGAAGAACCUUACCAAAUCUUGACAUCCUUUGACAACUCUAGAGAUAGAGCCUUCCCCUUCGGGGGACAAAGUGACAGGUGGUGCAUGGUUGUCGUCAGCUUGUGUCGUGAGAUGUUGGGUUAAGUCCCGCAACGAGCGCAACCCUUAAGCUUAGUUGCCAUCAUUAAGUUGGGCACUCUAAGUUGACUGCCGGUGACAAACCGGAGGAAGGUGGGGAUGACGUCAAAUCAUCAUGCCCCUUACGAUUUGGGCUACACACGUGCUACAAUGGACAAUACAAAGGGCAGCGAAACCGCGAGGUCAAGCAAAUCCCAUAAAGUUGUUCUCAGUUCGGAUUGUAGUCUGCAACUCGACUACAUGAAGCUGGAAUCGCUAGUAAUCGUAGAUCAGCAUGCUACGGUGAAUACGUUCCCGGGUCU